CUUAUACUCCCUCCGUCCGAAAUACUUGUCCUAGAAAUAAAAAAUAUGGAUGUAUCUAUAACUAAAAUAGGUCUAGAUACAACCAUAUUGAGGACAAGUAUUUCCGGAUGGAGGGAGUAUAUG
Molecule: non-coding RNA, 123 nt
Organism: Triticum aestivum (bread wheat)
Lineage: Eukaryota; Viridiplantae; Streptophyta; Magnoliopsida; Poales; Poaceae
Source: Rfam